GAUGAAGUGAUGAAUAGAAGGAGUAGGUAUUUUCUUAUAUUAAAGAGAGGAAGUGGAAGGUGAAAACUUCCUGUAGGAUAUAUUGAAGCUGUCUAGGAACUUGUAUUAUGUUGUUUAAGAGAUAUAGAUUGUAUUUUGAAUAUCUAUAUAAUUAGGGUGGUACCGCGAAGAGAAUCUUUCGUCCCUUAG
RNAcentral lists this non-coding RNA (189 nucleotides) under Clostridiaceae bacterium BL-3. RNAcentral's name for it is "T-box". It matches the Rfam family "T-box leader". Rfam says of the family: Uncharged tRNA acts as the effector for transcription antitermination of genes in the T-box leader family. T-boxes are found upstream of many aminoacyl-tRNA synthetase genes and some amino acid biosynthetic genes usually in Gram-positive bacteria. Lineage: Bacteria; Bacillati; Bacillota; Clostridia; Eubacteriales; Clostridiaceae. The record is from RNAcentral.